RNAcentral lists this ribosomal RNA (513 nucleotides) under uncultured bacterium. RNAcentral's name for it is "partial 16S ribosomal RNA". It matches the Rfam family "Bacterial small subunit ribosomal RNA", at positions 28 to 523 of the family's 1533-position model. The record is from RNAcentral.
GACGAACGCUGGCGGCAUGCCUAAUACAUGCAAGUCGAGCGAACAGAUGAAGUGCUUGCACUUCUGACGUUAGCGGCGAACGGGUGAGUAACACGUAAGGAAUCUACCUAUAAGCGGGGGAUAACAUUCGGAAACGGGUGCUAAUACCGCAUAAUAUCUUCUUCCGCAUGGAAGAAGAUUGAAAGACGGCUCUGCUGUCACUUAUAGAUGACCUUGCGGUGCAUUAGUUAGUUGGUGGGGUAACGGCCUACCAAGACGACGAUGCAUAGCCGACCUGAGAGGGUGAUCGGCCACAUUGGGACUGAGACACGGCACAAACUCCUACGGGAGGCAGCAGUAGGGAAUCUUCCGCAAUGGCCGAAAGCCUGACGGAGCAAUGCCGCGUGAGUGAAGAAGGCCUUCGGGUCGUAAAACUCUGUUAUAAGAGAAGAACAAAUUGGAGAGUAACUGCUACAGUCUUGACGGUAUCUUAUCAGAAAGCCACGGCUAACUACGUGCCAGCAGCCGCAGUAA